This is a long non-coding RNA of Passer domesticus (house sparrow), 1534 nucleotides long. RefSeq lists it as uncharacterized. The record is from RefSeq and is a predicted model, not a curated record. NCBI's taxonomy places the organism in Eukaryota, Metazoa, Chordata, Aves, Passeriformes, Passeridae. The transcript is spliced from 3 exons.
CAGACCUGUUCACCCAGGACCAGAGGGACAUGGUCUUCUGAGGCAGCUUCAGUUUAGCCCUAAGAAAUCCACAGGAACAAAUCAGUUUGAUCUUCCAGCAGGAGACCCUCAGCCAUGGCCUCACUGGAGUCAAGAGUCCUGAGGGCAGAAUUUCCAAGGUCCAAACAGGAAUCCAAACCUCCCUGGCAGCUGUGAGCAGCUCCAGUCCUUCACCCUCUUUCUACUCCCAGGGGGAUCUCAGGACUACCAGGCUACAGAGUCACAUUCCUCCCUCACAGGCCUUUAAGAUGUUGGAAGAUCUGUCCCAGCCAUUCCCUCCCCAUGGAACAUAAAAUAGAAUUCUCCUUGUCAGCCCAGCUCUGACCUCCAGGUUCUGAGUGAGGCAGGUCAGGCACCUGGAACUGACUUGCCAUGGCUCCACAUGGUAAACACAAAAAGCAAAGCUGAGGUUAAAAAUUAUGAAAUCAACCACUGUCCCAACAAGCCAGAAGGGUUUCAUCACUGAUCUUCCCCAUUACAUGCUUGCAGGAAAGAAUUUCAGAUAAAACUAUUGAUCCAGAGCAAUCCUUUCCUGGCACAGCCAGUAAUGAAACCAGCACUGUCAGAGCUUUUAAAAAGCACAGAGCUCCCAUUUUAAUGCAGCAGUGCUGUUUCACCACUGAGCCUGCAUUUCAGCUGCUUGUGUGCCUGCAGAACACAAUCCCCAGCUCCUAUGAAAAGCCAGGUAUUCCCUAAAUUUUGGGAUGGGCUUUUCCCACGCAGAGCCACAGAUAAAACCAAUUUAGAUUCCUGAAUCUGUCCUUACAAACCCUGGUAGCUAACAGCAAGCAUGGGCUCUGCAGCCAGAGGUGUGAGCAUGAGUCAGCUGAGUCAGCAGCAUUUAUGAAAUAAAUGUCAGGUUAAAAGAGGUCACAAGCACUUAGAAGGGAUGAGUAGGAUUGCCUGGAUAGGGCUGUGGGGAUAAAAAUAUAAGAGGGGAAAAGCACUGGACCAAUUCCUGGGGAAAACAAGGAGAUGACAUUGUUUUAACCUCUGGAAAUGAGGUGUGGUAUUGGAAAUUUGCAGCUGGAAAGAAAAAAAAAUUGCUAAAAAAAGGAAAAGACAUCUCUGAGUCCCCUUUUCCAUGGGGACCCAUUUUUACCCAAUAAAACUCUCUAAAUUAGCUUGGCUGCAACAGACACAGGAAUAUACCUUCAACACAUGAUCCAAAAACCUUUUCUUAGCCCAGAUUUCCUCCCUCCUCCUGAUUUAUUGGAGGAACAUUCCUCUACCAUGAAGAAACAGAGUCUUCCAUGGGCACAAGUGAGGCAGACCAUGGUGGGCAGUUAUUGAUACUGCCAGAGGUAUUUAGUGAGCAAUCUGUAACCAGUGAAUGAGCAACCCAAGAUUUUCUGCAGAUUUACCUGUCAAUGCACUGAGCAGCCAGACAAGCUGCAGUCAGCAGCUCCUUGAUGUGAGUGAGCCAGUUGGAAGCUUCCAGUUUACUGAGCCAGCGGUCCAUGUUGUGUGACUGGUCAUUGCAAGCCUCCACCAG